CCUACGGGUGACAGCAGUGAGGAAUAUUGGUCAAUGGACGAGAGUCUGAACCAGCCAAGUAGCGUGAAGGAUGACUGCCCUAUGGGUUGUAAACUUCUUUUAUAAAGGAAUAAAACGAGGCACGCGUGCCUUUUUGCAUGUACUUUAUGAAUAAGGAUCGGCUAACUCCGUGCCAGCAGCCGCGGUAAUACGGAGGAUCCGAGCGUUAUCCGGAUUGAUUGGGUUUAAAGGGAGCGUAGAUGGGUUGUUAAGUCAGUUGUGAAAGUUUGCGGCUCAACCGUAAAAUUGCAAUUGAUACUGGCAGUCUUGAGGACAGUUGAGGUAGGCGGAAUUCGUGGUGUAGCGGUGAAAUGCUUAGAUAUCACGAAGAACCCCGAUUGCGAAGGCAGCUUACUAAACUGUGACUGACAUUGAUGCUCGAAAGUGUGGGUAUCAAACAGGAUUAGAUACCCGUGUAGUC
This 460-nucleotide ribosomal RNA is filed under the name uncultured bacterium. RNAcentral describes it as "partial 16S ribosomal RNA". It matches the Rfam family "Bacterial small subunit ribosomal RNA", at positions 338 to 795 of the family's 1533-position model. The record is from RNAcentral.